GAUGAAGAACGUAGCGAAAUGCGAUAAGUAAUGUGAAUUGCAGAAUUCAGUGAAUCAUCGAAUCUUUGAACGCACAUUGCGCCCGCCAGUAUUCUGGCGGGCAUGCCUGUUCGAGCGUCAUUUCAGCCAUCAAGCCCCCGGCUUGUGUUGGGGACCUGCGGCUGCCGCAGGCCCUGAAAACCAGUGGCGGGCUCGCUAGUCACUCCGAGCGUAGUAAUACAUCUCGCUCAGGGCGUGCUGCGGGUUCCGGCCGUUAAAAAGCCUUAUUUACCCAAGGUUGACCUCGGAUCAGGUAGGAAGACCCGCUGAACUUAAGCAUAUCAUAAGCGGAGGA
This 334-nucleotide unclassified non-coding RNA is filed under the name soil metagenome. Its description in RNAcentral is "partial contains 5.8S ribosomal RNA, internal transcribed spacer 2, and large subunit ribosomal RNA". The stretch from base 1 to 120 matches the Rfam family "5.8S ribosomal RNA", at positions 35 to 154 of the family's 154-position model. The record is from RNAcentral.